This 1295-nucleotide long non-coding RNA is filed under the name Marmota monax (woodchuck). Lineage: Eukaryota; Metazoa; Chordata; Mammalia; Rodentia; Sciuridae. The record is from RNAcentral.
GCUGGGAGGAACAGGGUGGGGCAGCGGGAGGUGCCGCAAGCCGUGGCCUGCAGGGGAGGGCCCAUGCAGGGAGCGCGGACAGGCAGGCUGGGCCAGGCAGCAGGGCUGCCCGGGCAGUGACCCCACAGCAGAGCGAGUUUGGGGAGCCAGCUCUGAGCCUGCUUCCCGGGGACAUCGGGGUUGCACUGGGGGUGACCCGGGUGCCUUACCCCUGAGCCACACCCGGCCCUUUUUAUUUUUAAUGUUGAGACUUAGUCUCAAUAAGUCGCAGAGGCCGGCCUUGAACUCCUGAUCCCCCUGCCUCAGCCUCCUGGGUAGCUGGGGUGACAGGUGGCAGGCCUGGCGCACAGUGAGGGCUUUUUACAUAAGUAGGUCCUGAGGACUCCGGAACCCUCCGUCCUCCUGUUUGGCUGCACAGCUGCUGUUUCAUCCGGCCACCCGGCUGGCCCUGGCCCUCCGCUGCCCCACCAGGUGGCUGCAGCUGCGGGGGGGGCACUUGACCACUGUGGCCACCUCCGGGCUCACGGCAGGAAGCCGGGGUCUUUUAACAUGCAGGCCCUGGCCCCGCCCGCCUCCGGGCCUCUUGGCGCCAGCCGCCCGCUGCCCUCUGAGAGGCGCCUCUGUGGGCGGCUUGGGGGAUGGGAGCAGCUCUGAGGCCCACUGCCCCUGCUCGGCCUCUUCCAGGGCAGGAGGGUCGCACUGGCUGGUCUCUGGGCAGCGCUCAGGUCACCCCAGGCCUGGGGAGAGGCCUGGGCAGCAGGAGGGCCUCCCCUGGCCGCUGCCUCCCGUCUCCCAGCUCUGAGAGCGUGGCAGGCUCCUGGCCCUCUCUGGUGGCCUGGCCCUCUCUGGUGGCCUGGCCCUCUGGCAGUGGGCACACCUCCUUGAGAGAAGGCGCUGGAAGCCCAGAGGCAGCUGACCGGGAAGGAAGCCCCUAGGGCCGCAGCCACCCCCAGCACCCUGGCACCGAGGAGCCUUGUCCACGGUGGCCUGGCCAGCGGAUCGGGGCAGGGCCCUCUAAGUGCCAGCUGCCAGUAUGUGCCUGUCACGUUGGCGGGGAGGGAACAGGCCGUUCUUGGCUCACCAGCUGCCCCUUUGUCCCCAGGCGGAGGUGGGGGCUGUUGACCUGGUAACCAGCCUCUCCCCCAGUUAUUGAGGUGGAAAUCGGGGGCACCUGGGCCCAGGGGUCUGGCCCCCUCUUCGCCGCCUCCUGGCCUCCUGGGAAGGGUUAUUUCUGGACUGUGGGGAGGCGGUCACCCCUUGGGACUGGAAUGCCGGAGGUGGCUGUGGCGGGUGGG